AUGGAACGAGAGGAUUGCUUCCAUGCUCUGUGUAGGUGCACCCUAGCGAAGGAGUUGUGGCAUGCCAUGGCUAGGGACUGGAAUAUCUCAAGAGUGGAGGAGGUGGUGAACACGGGGUCGGAGUGGCUCUUCUCACUCCUGGAGCCGCUUGAUGAGGACACACGCAUGAUUGUCCUGAUGACGUUGUGGCGUGUAUGGCACGUCCGCAACGAGAUCACCCACGAGAAGAAGCCUCCACCAACCGAAGCAUCCAGGCGAUUCCUCCAGGGCUACAUCAACUCCUUGCUGUGCAUCAAGCAACACCCUAAAGCUGACAUGGAGAAGGGGAAGAUGGUCGUCCUAGGGCCUCAGCAGUGCUCCGCUGCUCGUGCGGCUCCGAAGGAGGACAGGAGAUGGAUACCACCUGGGAGGGCGAGCACCAAACUGAACACCGACGGGAGCUAUGUCCCGGCGACAGGCGCAUCAGGUGGAGGGAUGAUCCUCCGUGAUGAUCCUCCGUGA
This 501-nucleotide ribosomal RNA is filed under the name Triticum aestivum (bread wheat). RNAcentral describes it as "partial small subunit ribosomal RNA". The record is from RNAcentral. Lineage: Eukaryota; Viridiplantae; Streptophyta; Magnoliopsida; Poales; Poaceae.